AGAGUUUGAUCCUGGCUCAGGAUGAACGCUAGCGAUAGGCCUAACACAUGCAAGUCGAGGGGCAGCACAUGAGGUAGCAAUACUGAUGGUGGCGACCGGCGCACGGGUGAGUAACGCGUAUGCAACCUGCCUACAACAGGGGAAUAACCCGUUGAAAGACGGACUAAUACCCCAUAAUACAGGGAUCCCGCAUGGGAAUAUUUGUUAAAGAUUUAUCGGUUGUAGAUGGGCAUGCGUUCCAUUAGCUGGUUGGUGAGGUAACGGCUCACCAAGGCAACGAUGGAUAGGGGAACUGAGAGGUUUAUCCCCCACACUGGUACUGAGACACGGACCAGACUCCUACGGGAGGCAGCAGUGAGGAAUAUUGGUCAAUGGACGCAAGUCUGAACCAGCCACGUCGCGUGAAGGAAGACGGCCCUACGGGUUGUAAACUUCUUUUGUAAGGGAAUAAAGUGGGCCACGUGUGGCUUUUUGCAUGUACCUUACGAAUAAGGAUCGGCUAACUCCGUGCCAGCAGCCGCGGUAAUACGGAGGAUCCGAGCGUUAUCCGGAUUUAUUGGGUUUAAAGGGUGCGCAGGCGGGAGAUUAAGUCGGCGGUGAAAUUUUGCAGCUCAACUGUAAAAGUGCCUUCGAAACUGGUUUCCUUGAGUGUAGAUGAAGUAGGCGGAAUUUGUGGUGUAGCGGUGAAAUGCAUAGAUAUCACGAGGAACUCCGAUUGCGCAGGCAGCUUACUAAACUACUACUGACGCUCAGGCACGAAGGCGUGGGGAUCAAACAGGAUUAGAUACCCUGGUAGUCCACGCAGUAAACGAUGAUUACUAGCUGUUUGCGAUACAAUGUAAGCGGCUGAGCGAAAGCGUUAAGUAAUCCACCUGGGGAGUACGUUCGCAAGAAUGAAACUCAAAGGAAUUGACGG
This 916-nucleotide ribosomal RNA is filed under the name uncultured Porphyromonadaceae bacterium. RNAcentral describes it as "bacterial SSU rRNA". It matches the Rfam family "Bacterial small subunit ribosomal RNA", at positions 8 to 916 of the family's 1533-position model. The record is from RNAcentral. Lineage: Bacteria; Pseudomonadati; Bacteroidota; Bacteroidia; Bacteroidales; Porphyromonadaceae.